This 1172-nucleotide ribosomal RNA is filed under the name uncultured bacterium. Its description in RNAcentral is "bacterial SSU rRNA". It matches the Rfam family "Bacterial small subunit ribosomal RNA", at positions 245 to 1431 of the family's 1533-position model. The record is from RNAcentral.
CUAGUUGGCGGGGUAAGAGCCCACCAAGGCAACGAUCAGUAGCCGGCCUGAGAGGGUGAUCGGCCACACUGGAACUGAGACACGGUCCAGACUCCUACGGGAGGCAGCAGUGGGGAAUAUUGCACAAUGGGCGAAAGCCUGAUGCAGCGACGCCGCGUGAGUGAAGAAGGUCUUCGGAUCGUAAAACUCUGUCCUUGGUGAAGAAAAAAAUGACGGUAGCCAAGGAGGAAGCCCCGGCUAACUACGUGCCAGCAGCCGCGGUAAUACGUAGGGGGCGAGCGUUGUCCGGAUUUACUGGGCGUAAAGGGUGAGUAGGCGGUAAUAUGUGUCAGAUGUAAAAGUCCCGCUGCUUAACCAUAGUUGGCAUUUGAAACUGUAUUACUUGAGUGCAGGAGAGGUAAGUGGAAUUCCUAGUGUAGCGGUGAAAUGCGUAGAUAUUAGGAGGAACACCAGUGGCGAAGGCGACUUACUGGACUGUAACUGACGCUGAGUCACGAAAGCGUGGGUAGCAAACAGGAUUAGAUACCCUGGUAGUCCACGCUGUAAACGAUGAGUGCUAGGUGUUGGGGGUAUCGACCCCCUCGGUGCCACAGCUAACGCAAUAAGCACUCCGCCUGGGGAGUACGGCCGCAAGGUUGAAACUCAAAGGAAUUGACGGGGGCCCGCACAAGCAGCGGAGCAUGUGGUUUAAUUCGAAGCAACGCGAAGAACCUUACCAGGUCUUGACAUCCAGUAAAAACUGUCGAGAGGCAGUGUCCCUUCGGGGGUACUGAGACAGGUGGUGCAUGGUUGUCGUCAGCUCGUGUCGUGAGAUGUUGGGUUAAGUCCCGCAACGAGCGCAACCCUUAUUUUCAGUUACUAACGCGUAACGGCGAGGACUCUGAAGAGACUGCCGGGGACAACUCGGAGGAAGGUGGGGACGACGUCAAAUCAUCAUGCCCCUUAUGACCUGGGCUACACACGUGCUACAAUGGCUACUACAAAGAGGAGCAAGCCCGCAAGGGGGAGCGGAUCUGAGAAAAGUAGUCCCAGUUCGGAUCGUGGGCUGCAACCCGCCCACGUGAAGUCGGAGUUGCUAGUAAUCGCGGAUCAGCAUGCCGCGGUGAAUACGUUCCCGGGCCUUGUACACACCGCCCGUCACACCAUGGGAGUUGGGAGCCCCCGAAGCCAGU